GUUUGUUAUGAAAUGGAAUAUCAGACUACAGUUGAUUUUAUUACCAUUCUUCCCGUCUUCUGUUACAUGGAGUAUCCUCUAGCCUUUGUGGCUGACAAUCCAGAGUGCUCUUCUAAAUCCCAGAGGCAUCAUUACCAGAUCAGAACCAUCAACUGAAAAGCAAUUUCAAAAGAACAGGAGAGUACAAGCUGAUAAAGACUGCUUCAGUAAUGCUGAUGAAGUUACAGCUCUGUUUCAGUAUUAAGAACAUAUUAUGCACUAUGUGCAAGUCAGAGGUGUUUUUUUAAUAAAAACCCAAAAACCACAUAUGCCAAAGAAUCCCUGAAAGUUGCCCUAAGAAACCCAGCACAUUGGAGAAUAUUCAGGGCUAUUUUCUAGGGCACACAUACUGUUAAUGCUGGGUACUGUGCAGACCAAAUGAGUCUACCUGUUGCCCCAUGUAAACAAAGAUUGAGACUUUGAACCCUUCCAUUGCUCUCCUGCAGCUGCAGGUGUCCCAGUUCCUUAUUAUAUAGCCCACAGAAUCUCAAGAGUUAACUACACCUUGAUCAUCUACAGACUUUAGCCCUAUUCACAUUAUGUUCAAUGUACAAUCUGUAUACAGUGUGUGCAUGCAGAGAUCUGUAUAGUUAUUCACGUUAUGCUAAAUACACAUAGAUCAGAGUUAAGGUCAUCUGAAAACGUCCAUCUCCAGUUACCUCUGGUGAGUCUGGUGGCUACCCAGAGGCAGGCCUUCUCUGUAGCUGCUUCAGGACUGUGGAAUGCACUCCCUACAGAAAUCCGUAAUUUGAAUUCUUUAUUGCCCUUCAGGAGAGCCCUUAAAACCUAUCUGUUUGGCCUGGCCUUCUAGGGUUUUUAAAGUGUUAUAAAUGGUUUUAAUGUUGUAUCCUGGUUUUUCAGGGUUCUGAUUGUUUAACUGUUUUGUUUUAAUUGUUUAGUUGUUGUAGUAUGCUGUUUUAUAGUUUAAAUGUUAAUUGAUUUUAAUGGUUUUGUUUUAAUUGUAAAACACCCUGAGCCAUUUUGGAAGGGUGGUAUAAAAACUGAAUAAGUAAAUAAAGCAGUACACUUCCUA
Long non-coding RNA from Hemicordylus capensis (graceful crag lizard), 1072 nucleotides. RefSeq lists it as uncharacterized. The record is from RefSeq and is a predicted model, not a curated record. The transcript is spliced from 2 exons. Lineage: Eukaryota; Metazoa; Chordata; Lepidosauria; Squamata; Cordylidae.